Molecule: long non-coding RNA, 4235 nt
Filed under: Bemisia tabaci
Lineage: Eukaryota; Metazoa; Arthropoda; Insecta; Hemiptera; Aleyrodidae
Description: lncRNA ENSSSA1NGG001384
Source: RNAcentral
UGAAUGUUUUUUCAGGUGAGCAAGAAAUGGUAAUUCCUAAUUGCAAAAAGUAGUUCAAUUGUACUUAGGUGUUUUUAGCGUGAGUUUCGGUGUUUACGGGAAUGCUGGCUGCAACGAGGUGCAAGAGGAAUUCCAAAGGAAGCUCUCUGCCCGCUGAUCGCCCUCCGCGAGUUCGUCACCAGUUCCGUUUGCCGAAUUUCGAAUUUCUCUCGUGUUGAAACAACGCCGAGAGACAAUCCUCGUCUCGAGGUCAGAACUACCCUCGACGAUCAGCAAGGAGGCUUCAACCACCCGAUAUAAAUACUAAUUACCACCGAUCGGGGCCCAUUUCAGUUUGGCACUCAUACAGAGUGCGACAGUGAGCAGUGUUUCUACCAAAAGGAUAACCUCCCUUCAAAAUGAAUCGGUAUAAACUAUCGAUCGUGCUCCUGCUCUUGAGCACGGUGGCCAUUGCUUUGGCCAAUGAGGCCAACGAAGAAGCCUUGAAGGACGCAGAUUCAGACUCUACUCACACGGGUGCCGAGCCUCAGAAGCGCUCCCUUAAGAAGUUCAAAAAGCUCAAAAAGCUGGCACUCCUUAAAAAAAGGGGCCUUGGUUCCUUCCAGAGUUCGAGGUCGAAGAGGUCAAAGAAACUUCACCUCUCCCCGUGUUUAAAGUACACAAAUACGCCGGGAUCGAAGUCAAGCCUAUCCCCACCACCCCGCCACCACCACCCCCCACCGCCGGCAGUCUACGGACCACCAUCGCCACCGCCAACCGUCUACGGACCACCCGAAGCCGCUGCAGCAGCCGUAGCUACCUCUGAAGGCAAAGGAAACCCCGACCUGGCAAUCCUCGACUCCCUGGGCCCCCUCGUCUCCGGCGAAGGCGGUGUGGAUCUAUCCGCUCUUUUGAGCAUCGCUGGUAGCGGUGAAAUCCCGUUGGAAGCCAUUGAAACCCUCUCCCAGAUCGCCAAGACCAACCCCAAACUCGUGGCCAGCAUCGUAAACGGACUGAAGAACCCCAAGAAGGCCAAGAAAGCUGGCAUCAUCGCUGCUUUGCUGAAACUCAAGGCCAAGAAGAAGCUCCUGAAGAAGAAGCCACUGAAACUCUUGGCCAAGGGAGUCGCCGCCAAGGCCGCCAUCACCAAGAAGAAGCUCUUCACCCCCUUCGCUUUGGUGGCCGCUGAGGGCGCCAAGGUCGCAUCCGCAGUCUCCUCCAUCCCCUCCAACAUCGCCGGCUACAUCUGGCCUGAAGAAGAAACCGGACCCUACGAAGCCGAGCUCCCCUCCCCGCAAGAAGUUUCACCCCUCUUCUCCCUUGAAGCUCUAUCACCCCUCCCCGGUCUCCCGCUCCUGAAAUUCCCCGGCAAAUACAAGCUCAAGAAGCACCACCCUUAUGUCAGCGUUAAGCUCCCAACCACCCAUCAACCCGCACCUCCCCCACCACCACCCACACCAGCGCCCGUCUACGGACCUCCACCGCCAGUAGAGCCCGUCCACGUCUAUGGUCCCCCUCCACCACCACCACCACCACCACCACCACCACCACCUCCACCACCAGCACCCCCCGUAGAUGUUUACGGCCCACCCCAAGCCCCAGCAGCCACCUACGGCGUGCCCUCUGCCCUUGCCCCCGGUACCCACCUCGAACCCCCUCCACUACCCUUGGAUACCCCCAGACAAGUAGCAGCCGCCGCUGCAGUUGACUCCUACCAAGUUCCAAUUGCUGUCUACGCCCAAGGCCAGCGCUUCAUCACCCCGGCCGGCACGACGCUGACCGCACCUGCUUACUACAACGUCGACUCAUUCUUGGCAGCCUCGGAGAACGACGAGGUGGAGGCAGAAGGUGACGAAGGCCACGAGGAGGUUGAGGAGAUCGAGCACGUGGUGGCACGAGGAAACCACAGCGAGCACGCCGAACACGGAAAGCAGACGGCUCAUGCUCUGCCAUCCCACAAUGUCCACCAUGUCCAGGCUGAGCGUGAACACGCUCACCACGCUGAACACGCUCAGCGUGCUGAACACGGGCAUGAGGCUGCCGAGCAUGAACACGUGCAAAGACCAGUGACCAAUCAGAUGAGGAGGUCGCCACCUCCGGCCGAGCAGAAGCACGAACAGCAGCCAGAGCAGUUUGUGCGAGGAGAAGUUUUCGUCGUUCCUCUUAACCAUGCUACCGAAGACACACAUCAACAGGAGCAUGCCAGUGAAGAAUCAAAUUCUGGAUCUCAUUAAUUUUGAGAUUCUCCAGCAAUGAUGCCAUAUCAUUAAUUUAAUGUAAAUAUUUUUUAAAUUUUUAUUUUUUUCUUAAUUUUAGCCUUAGGAUAAAUUUCUUUCUUAGGAUCUUCUGUUUUCCUUCUAAUUCACUUUUUUUCAAAAUGAUUUUUUGACAUUCAACCAAGUUGACUAUUCUUCAUGAUAAAUGAAUGAAUCUGUAUGCUGUGUCCGUUCAGAUAAACAUUCUGCCGAGAAAUAAAAUUAAUUUUACAUACUACAGUAAUUUUACCUCCACCCUGUGGCCUGUGGCUCAUCAACAAGCAAGGUUGCGUGACUUUCUUUCCCAAAAACCAUGUAUUGCAGACCAAAAGUAACGGAUUUAUACACGUCUUUUAUAUGCCUAUGGUCAUCAUAUAAUUCCAAAUAUUCGCCUCACUUUGAGUAUUUCAUCAAUGUAACUACCCUUGCGAGUGGAUCUUCAUGAAAUAGCAAAAUGAUUUCUCCUGAAAAAUUCAUAAAACAAUAAUGAAAAUAGAAUCGUACAAAUGGUAAUGAAGUUCCAUUUUUCAAAAACUUAGUACGAUAUAAAAGCUACUUUUAGGGUACAACUGAAAACUUUCUAAACUUGAAACUGCCUCAAGUUUUAGUCAAAGGUAAAGACAUGAUUUGCUUUAGUAAUUAAAUUAUUUGUUACUUUGCUGAACCACUCAGUCUAGAGAGAUGUCAGCAAAAGCCGCAAAACCCCUCAGGUCAGAAUAGACUGUGAGCUUUGACAAAACGAUUAUCUUCUCAAUAAUAAGUAUUAUCAACUUCAAUAUAGAAAUAUUUUGCCGUGAAAGCAAAGAGUUCCAAACCAAAUCUGCUUAAAAUGAUCUCCAAAAAACAUAUGUAUAAUUUUUCUUAUGUGAUAAUCAUAAUGAAUUUUGAGUUAGGUAUGUCAAAAUUCCAGUUUCGGAGUCCGCAAAUUUUACAUGUUUAUUAAAGCAUAUUGCUAAUUUCUGAAUCAAAAAACAUAGUUUACUUUCGCACUGAUUGGUAUGCUAAAUUUUGAAUCGACUUUUACGUCUGGUAAUAUUUUGAUAAAGCUUUUUCAAUUUUUUAACCCAUGACCAGAAUUGCUAAAUAGGUCUACUGCACACAAGAGGUACAGCCAAUGGGAUUGACAUUCUUCAGGUAAAAUCGUACGUAAAUCACUAUAGGCAUGACAAAAAUUCUGAAGCCACAGCGUGUAAUAUGCGUUGUGUGUAAUUGCUUUUUCAAAUUUUCUGCGUCAUGAGCAGUUAUUCUUAGUAGUUGACUACCAGAUUUGCACAGAGAGACUUGAUAAAUCCUAACCCAAUUGAACAAAAAAAUAUCAAAAUUGUUUUUCUCUCGCGUAUGACCUCAAUCGUUUUUCAGCGUUUAUGUCCUCCUCAUUUUUUGCAUCUUGCUUUGCAAAAUCAAAAAUCUUGAAUCAAUUGAAGACAUAUGUGGGAAAUUUUUGUGAUAGUUCUCGAGAUGAGUGGUUACUUUAAGGUCAGGUUUUUUGCGUCUCUCUCCGGACAAAAUUUAUAACCGGCCACUUAGAAAAACUUUCCGCAGAUGCAGAAGUCUUACUAACUACUUACAAUAAAUGAAUUUUUAGAUUCUAUAUAAAAUCAUGUUCUAAAUAUCUAGUUGUUACAAAAUACUUUCAUCAAAAAUUGUUUUACUUAUUGUGAGCUGUGGAUUUCAGAAUUUUUGCAGUGACAAUCGUGAUUUUAAGCAAUUUUAUCCACGGAAAGGCUAUUCAUUCAUUUGUAACUCUUGCGAGCAAACGACCCGUUUUAUUUAUUAUCAACAAAUUCAAUUCUUGGCUCCAAGAACUUUUCCUCUUAAAGUGAAUUCAAUCCAAGUCAUAUCAUUAUGUUCUAUGUUAAGUUUUAAAGUAAAAUACGCACUCCUCUCUCUUAAAAAUUUAAAAACUUGAAUUUUUAGUGUAAUACAUGUACUCAGGUGCUGACCAUUCUCUGAUGUGUAUGCCUACUCAUAAGAUAAAUACAUUUUCAGUGAAUAAAUGAG